This is a long non-coding RNA of Arachis stenosperma, 702 nucleotides long. RefSeq lists it as uncharacterized. The transcript has 3 exons. The record is from RefSeq and is a predicted model, not a curated record. Lineage: Eukaryota; Viridiplantae; Streptophyta; Magnoliopsida; Fabales; Fabaceae.
CAACCUUUCAUUUAUUUCUAAUAAAAAAUUAAAACAUCCUUAUUUUUAUUUCAGAAAAACACUAGCUUUAUAAACCUAACAAAUAUCAAAAUUCAAUAAACUUUAAUUUUUAAAUUUCAAAAUUCAAAUAAUUUAAACAAGGAUCGAGAGAAACAAGAUCUGAAAAAUACAAAAUUGCUCUUCAAUCUUCAUCUUCUUCCCCCUUUCCAACCGUGAGACGCAAUCACGACGGCUGCGGCGGUUAGAGGCGGCGAGUGGCGGUGAGAGGACAACAAAUGAAAGAGGACCACCACUUUUCAGAUAUCUAGUACAUGUCAUGAAUGUGGCAACUCCAAGCAAGGACUGCCUGGAGCUUGUAAGAGAGUUGCUUGAACCCUUAAUAAAGGCUAGAAGUCAGAGGAGUUUGACCUGACAGGAGGCAUUUGACAGAAAGAAGUGGGAGAAGUUUAAUAGCAAAAAGGUUGUCUUACUGGCAUUUGCAAGGAUGCAAGGAAAGAACAAAAAAAAUUUCGUACAAAGGUGAAGAAACAACACAAUUAUCUACUGCUGGGGACUCUGAACAUGUCAAUAUUUCAUGUGAAUGUAUAUAUAUGUGAAUGUAUAUUAGGUACCGUUAAUUAGUUUUGUUAAUGUUGUAAUAAAGCCUAAAAAAGAUAGGAAUGUAUAUGUGAAUCAGUUUCUUUGACUUGCUCUUAUGAUAGA